Larimichthys crocea (large yellow croaker) is the source of this 54-nucleotide non-coding RNA. Lineage: Eukaryota; Metazoa; Chordata; Actinopteri; Sciaenidae. The record is from Rfam.
AACGGUAUUAACUGUAAGUCGCUUUGGAUAAAAGCGUCUGCUAAAUGCAAUGUA